RNAcentral lists this transfer RNA (74 nucleotides) under Candidatus Omnitrophica bacterium CG1_02_43_210. RNAcentral's name for it is "tRNA-Ala". It matches the Rfam family "tRNA". Rfam says of the family: Transfer RNA (tRNA) molecules are approximately 80 nucleotides in length. Their secondary structure includes four short double-helical elements and three loops (D, anti-codon, and T loops). Further hydrogen bonds mediate the characteristic L-shaped molecular structure. tRNAs have two regions of fundamental functional importance: the anti-codon, which is responsible for specific mRNA codon recognition, and the 3' end, to which the tRNAs corresponding amino acid is attached (by aminoacyl-tRNA synthetases). tRNAs cope with the degeneracy of the genetic code in two manners: having more than one tRNA (with a specific anti-codon) for a particular amino acid; and 'wobble' base-pairing, i.e. permitting non-standard base-pairing at the 3rd anti-codon position. RNAcentral also lists the same sequence under 5 other names. Lineage: Bacteria; Pseudomonadati; Candidatus Omnitrophota. The record is from RNAcentral.
GGGGCUGUGGUGAAGAGGGAUCACGACACAAUGGCAUUGUGUAGUCACGAGUUCGAUUCUCGUCAGCUCCACCA